UCCGCCUUGUGCGCUUGCCAACACUUCUUUAGCUUCCGAGAUGGUGUCGAGUAGCGUGGUUGGUGUAACUGCUGCAGUGUCAUUUUUAUUGGGUAUUUUUGUGGGGUAUGAAAUUAAAACAUGGAGAAUUGAGUGGCUGAAAAGAAGGCGAGAAAGGCUUGCAAGAAAGCUUGCCCAUACUCAGCAGCAAAUUGAUAACCUUUCUGAAAGAGAAAGAUAUUGAAUGCCUUCUCAGCCAAGGAGAACACCAGCAAUGCUGGAGGAGCUCAGCAGACUUCCACAGAAUUUAGUGACAUUGCAUACCUGAGUACCCGGAUUAAAUGGGUGCCCAGAAGUGACUGGCAUGGAUAGCCUUGCAUUUGUCAUUUUGUCACACUACUUAAAUGCAAGAAUGGGGCUGGAAGAGGUGCAGAGUUGCAUCUUCACAUAGAAAAGCAGCUGGGAGGCAUCGCAUUCUGUGCCUUCUGGCUGUCAACGGUUCGCCGCUGCAGUCCUGCGCCGGCCAUGUGUCUGUCGGUUGGGCUGUUCCUGCCAGACAUAGUGGAAGAGCCUGCGAAUGCGUCUGUCACCUGACAAUGUGUGUUGCUGAGUGACCAUGUUCAGCGGGGUGAACUGGAUAUGAUCGUCCGAAGAAGACUAAAAUAUUGAUGUGCACGUGUGAUAAGCGUUCCAGUUGGAUGUUAGUGAUUUCACAUUACAGACAACAGAAAUGAGCUGUGACUUGAAGUGCAACGCAAAAAAUCCGGCUGUAGGCCGCAACCAAUGUUUCCAUCUGUCCUGAGUUUCAACCAUUAUUUUACCUAGACUCCGGUCUGGUCAAGGGAUGCCGAAUGAAUGCAUGUUGUUUGUUGUAAUAUGCGCAAUACAUUUUGGGAGUGACAUUUGAA
Long non-coding RNA from Pollicipes pollicipes, 887 nucleotides. RefSeq lists it as uncharacterized. The record is from RefSeq and is a predicted model, not a curated record. NCBI's taxonomy places the organism in Eukaryota, Metazoa, Arthropoda, Thecostraca, Pollicipedomorpha, Pollicipedidae. The transcript has 2 exons.